This 507-nucleotide ribosomal RNA is filed under the name uncultured bacterium. Its description in RNAcentral is "partial 16S ribosomal RNA". It matches the Rfam family "Bacterial small subunit ribosomal RNA", at positions 28 to 523 of the family's 1533-position model. The record is from RNAcentral.
GAUGAACGCUAGCUACAGGCUUAACACAUGCAAGUCGAGGGGUAACGAGAGGAAAGCUUGCUUUCCUUGUCGACGACCGGCGCACGGGUGAGUGACGCGUAUCCAACCUGCCCCCAACUAGGGAAUAACCUUGCGAAAGUAAGACUAAUACCCUAUAAUUUCCUCAGAUGUCAUCUGACGAGGAAUAAAGAUUUAUCGGUUGUGGAUGGGGAUGCGUCUGAUUAGCUUGUUGGCGGGGUAACGGCCCACCAAGGCAACGCUCAGUAGGGGUUCUGGGAGGAAGGUGCCCCGCAUUGGAACUGAGACACGGUGCAAACGCCUACGGGAGGCAGCAGUGGGGAAUAUUGGACAAUGGGCGGAAGCCUGAUCCAGCAACGCCGCGUGGGGGAUGACGGCCUUCGGGUUGUAAACCUCUUUCAGCACAGACGAAGCUGUCCUCACGUGUGGGGGUGGUGACGGUAUGUGCAGAAGAAGCACCGGCCAACUACGUGCCAGCCGCCGCGGUAA